This 423-nucleotide ribosomal RNA is filed under the name uncultured Truepera sp. RNAcentral's name for it is "bacterial SSU rRNA". It matches the Rfam family "Bacterial small subunit ribosomal RNA", at positions 354 to 796 of the family's 1533-position model. The record is from RNAcentral. Lineage: Bacteria; Thermotogati; Deinococcota; Deinococci; Trueperales; Trueperaceae.
GUUAGGAAUCUUCCACAAUGGGCGAAAGCCUGAUGGAGCGACACCGCGUGAGGGAUGAAGGCCCUAGGGUUGUAAACCUCUAAAAGAGGGACGAUAAUGACGGUACCUCUUGAAUAGCACCGGCUAACUCCGUGCCAGCAGCCGCGGUAAUACGGAGGGUGCAAGCGUUAUCCGGAAUCACUGGGCGUAAAGGGCGCGUAGGCGGUCUGUUAAGUCCGAUGUCAAAUCCCGGGGCUCAACCCCGGAUCGGCGUUGGAUACUGGCAGGCUGGACGGCUGGAGAGGCGAGUGGAAUUACCAGUGUAGCGGUGGAAUGCGUAGAUACUGGUAGGAACACCCAUUGCGAAGGCAGCUCGCUGGACAGCACGUGACGCUGAGGCGCGAAAGUGUGGGGAGCAAACCGGAUUAGAUACCCUAGUAGUCC